AUACGUAGGGGGCGAGCGUUAUCCGGAAUUAUUGGGCGUAAAGAGUGCGUAGGUGGCCAGUGUAAGCGCGGGGUGAAAGGCAAUAGCUUAACUAUUGUAAGCCUUGCGAACUGUGUGGCUUGAGUGCAGGAGAGGAAAGUGGAAUUCCUAGUGUAGCGGUGAAAUGCGUAGAUAUUAGGAGGAACACCAGUGGCGAAGGCGACUUUCUGGACUGUAACUGACACUGAGGCACGAAAGCGUGGGGAGC
RNAcentral lists this ribosomal RNA (247 nucleotides) under uncultured bacterium. Its description in RNAcentral is "partial 16S ribosomal RNA". It matches the Rfam family "Bacterial small subunit ribosomal RNA", at positions 523 to 769 of the family's 1533-position model. The record is from RNAcentral.